AACGAACGCUGGCGGCAUGCCUAACACAUGCAAGUCGAACGAGACCUUCGGGUAUAGUGGCGCACGGGUGCGUAACGCGUGGGAACCUGCCAUUAGGUUCGGAAUCACUCCCCGAAAGGGGUGCUAAUACCGGAUACUGUCUUCGGUCAAAAGGUUUAUCGCCUUUGGAUGGGACCGAGUUGGAUUAGCUAGUUGGUAGGGUAAAAGCCUACCAAGGCGACGCUGCAUAGCUGGACUGAGAGGAAGAUCGGCCAGAAUGGGACUGGGACACGGCCCAGACGCCUGCGGGGGGGAGCAGGAGAGAAGAUUGGAAAAUGGGCUAAAGCUAGAUCCAGCAAUGCCACGUGAAGGAGUAAGGCCUAAGGAUGGUAAAGGUCUUUUACCCGAGAGGAGAAUGACAGUACCGGGAGAAUAAGGGCCGGCUAACUCCGUG
RNAcentral lists this ribosomal RNA (433 nucleotides) under uncultured bacterium. Its description in RNAcentral is "partial 16S ribosomal RNA". It matches the Rfam family "Bacterial small subunit ribosomal RNA", at positions 29 to 507 of the family's 1533-position model. The record is from RNAcentral.